This 963-nucleotide ribosomal RNA is filed under the name uncultured bacterium. RNAcentral describes it as "bacterial SSU rRNA". It matches the Rfam family "Bacterial small subunit ribosomal RNA", at positions 11 to 997 of the family's 1533-position model. The record is from RNAcentral.
GUUUGAUCCUGGCUCAGAUUGAACGCUGGCGGUAGGCUUAACACAUGCAAGUCGUGCGAGAAAGUAUCUUCGGAUAUGAGUAGAGCGGCGGACGGGUGAGUAACGCGUAGGAAUCUACCUAGUAGAAGGGGAUAGCCCGGGGAAACCCGGAUUAAUACCGUAUACCUCCUUCGGGAGAAAGAAGGCCUCUCUUUGAAGCUUUCGCUACUAGAUGAGCCUGCGUAAGAUUAGCUUGUUGGUGAGGUAAAGGCUCACCAAGGCUACGAUCUUUAGCUGGUCUGAGAGGACGAUCAGCCACAUUGGGACUGAGACACGGCCCAAACUCCUACGGGAGGCAGCAGUGGGGAAUCUUGCACAAUGGAGGAAACUCUGAUGCAGCGAUGCCGCGUGAGUGAAGAAGGCCCUUGGGUUGUAAAGCUCUUUCGUCGGGGAAGAAAAUGACUGUACCCGAAUAAGAAGGUCCGGCUAACUUCGUGCCAGCAGCCGCGGUAAUACGAAGGGACCUAGCGUAGUUCGGAAUUACUGGGCUUAAAGAGUUCGUAGGUGGUUGAAAAAGUUAGUGGUGAAAUCCCAGAGCUUAACUCUGGAACUGCCAUUAAAACUUUUCAGCUAGAGUAUGAUAGAGGAAAGCAGAAUUUCUAGUGUAGAGGUGAAAUUCGUAGAUAUUAGAAAGAAUACCAAUUGCGAAGGCAGCUUUCUGGAUCAUUACUGACACUGAGGAACGAAAGCAUGGGUAGCGAAGAGGAUUAGAUACCCUCGUAGUCCAUGCCGUAAACGAUGUGUGUUAGACGUUGGAAAUUUAUUUUCAGUGUCGCAGGGAAACCGAUAAACACACCGCCUGGGGAGUACGACCGCAAGGUUAAAACUCAAAUGAAUUGACGGGGACCCGCACAAGUAGUGGAGCAUGUGGUUUAAUUCGAAGAUACGCGCAGAACCUUACCAACACUUGACAUGUUCGUCGCG